AGAGUUUGAUCAUGGCUCAGAGCGAACGCUGGCGGCAGGCCUAAAACAUGCAAGUCGAACGGAUCCUUCGGGAUUAGUGGCGGACGGGUGAGUAACACGUGGGAAACGUGCCUUUUGGUUCGGAACAACUCAGGGAAACUUGAGCUAAUACCGAAUGUGCCCUUCGGGGGAAAGAUUUAUCGCCAUUAGAGCGGCCCGCGUCUGAUUAGCUUGUUGGUGAGGUAAAGGCUCACCAAGGCGACGAUCAGUAGCUGGUCUGAGAGGAUGAUCAGCCACACUGGGACUGAGACACGGCCCAGACUCCUACGGGAGGCAGCAGUUAGGAAUCUUGCGCAAUGGGGAAACCCUGACGCAGCCAUGCAGCGUGAAUGAUGAAGGUCUUAGGAUUGUAAAAUUCUUUCAGCGGGGACGAUAAUGACGGUACCCGCAGAAGAAGCCCCGGCUAACUUCGUG
RNAcentral lists this ribosomal RNA (453 nucleotides) under uncultured bacterium. Its description in RNAcentral is "bacterial SSU rRNA". It matches the Rfam family "Bacterial small subunit ribosomal RNA", at positions 8 to 507 of the family's 1533-position model. The record is from RNAcentral.